GUGACAGCUACUGAAUCAAUGAUGUGUCAUCGUUGAUAAGGUAAGGGAAAAUAAUGAUAUUACCUUACUAUUAGUGUCGUCCAAGUACUCGUGCCAGAAGACUCGGUAAGGCGAGAGACGCAAACGUUAGUCGUCUUAAUCAGGCGUAAAGGGUUUGUAGGCGGCUUUAAGUAUUUUAAUCUUUAAAAUAACAUACUUUAACUUAUUUCAGUAAAAAUAAAGAGAAAAUCAAUUAAAGCUAGAAUCAAGUAGAGGUCAAAUUAAAUAAUACUUGGUGUAAGAUUGGUAUCUUUAAAAACCAAGCGGAAUACUAACGGCGAAGGCUUUUUUCCAAUAAUGAUUGACGCUGAGAAACUAAGGUGAGGACAGAAAAAAGGAUUAGAGACCCUAGUAUCCCUCACUGUCAACGAUGAAUGGUAGUUACUAGAUAAAAAUCUAGAGGCGAUGUUAACACGAAAACCAUUCCGCCUUGUGAGUACGACUGCAAAGUUGAAAACAAAAAAUUAAAGUCGGGUUUCGGAGCAAACGAAGUGAAGCAUGUUAUUAUAAAAAAUCCCCCCC
RNAcentral lists this ribosomal RNA (561 nucleotides) under Xylodon olivaceobubalinus. RNAcentral's name for it is "Xylodon sp. JD-2023e partial small subunit ribosomal RNA". It matches the Rfam family "Bacterial small subunit ribosomal RNA", at positions 399 to 976 of the family's 1533-position model. Lineage: Eukaryota; Fungi; Basidiomycota; Agaricomycetes; Hymenochaetales; Schizoporaceae. The record is from RNAcentral.